UACGUAGGGGGCUAGCGUUGUCCGGAUUUAUUGGGCGUAAAGAGCGUGCAGGCGGCCAGGCAGGUCUGCUGUGAAAACUCGAGGCUCAACCUCGAGCUGUCGGCGGAAACCAUCUGGCUAGAGUCCGGAAGAGGAGAAUGGAAUUCCCGGUGUAGCGGUGAAAUGCGCAGAUAUCGGGAAGAACACCCGUGGCGAAGGCGGUUCUCUGGGACGGUACUGACGCUGAGACGCGAAAGCGUGGGGAGCGAACAGG
This 253-nucleotide ribosomal RNA is filed under the name uncultured bacterium. RNAcentral describes it as "partial 16S ribosomal RNA". It matches the Rfam family "Bacterial small subunit ribosomal RNA", at positions 524 to 776 of the family's 1533-position model. The record is from RNAcentral.